AGACAUUACGUACUAAACACAGUAUGGUUCUAAAUCCAUGCGUACACCCAUCUUUUGGGAGUCUUGGAGGCCAGAGAGAUGAAGCAGGGGACACAGUACCUACCUCCAGCUUUCUGUAAGGCUGGCAGGAACAGCACAGAAGCUCACUGAUUUGACUGAAAGAAUUUGACUGUAACUGAAUAUUAUGGCAGCAGUUCUGCUACAGCAUUUGUAGGAGUGCUUUUCUCCUGACAACUACAUUUUCUUAUGUGAUCCUCAGGACCACUAUCUAAGGGCAGAGGUUCCCAAACCAGGGUGAUUUUGCCCUACAGGAGACAUUUGGCAACAUCUAGAGACGUUUGGGGUUGUCAAAACUGGGAAGAGGAGAUACUGGCAUGUAGAGGGUAGGGGUGCUGCUCAACAUCCUGCAAUGCUCAAGGCAGACCCCUCACAAGAAAGAGUUAUUGACCCCCAAAUGUUUGUGCCACGGCUGAAAAACUGCAUUAGAGUAAA
Long non-coding RNA from Galeopterus variegatus (Sunda flying lemur), 492 nucleotides. RefSeq lists it as uncharacterized. The record is from RefSeq and is a predicted model, not a curated record. The transcript is spliced from 3 exons. NCBI's taxonomy places the organism in Eukaryota, Metazoa, Chordata, Mammalia, Dermoptera, Cynocephalidae.